Molecule: long non-coding RNA, 9565 nt
Organism: Brassica rapa (field mustard)
Lineage: Eukaryota; Viridiplantae; Streptophyta; Magnoliopsida; Brassicales; Brassicaceae
Source: RefSeq, a predicted model, not a curated record
UAAUUUUUUUUGAAAUGAAUAUUCAUAUAUCCGUUCGGAUUCAAUUAAUUUAUUCGAAUUUCGGACUUUUAGGGUUAGAAAUUUAAAUCGUAUUCAGAUAUUUAUAAAUUUUGGUUUGGAUUUGGUUCGAAUCAUUGCGGGGUUGGUUCGGAUUUGAGUUCGGAUACCCAUUUUAAUUAUGUAUUUUUAAACAAAAAUCCAAAUAUAAUUGAUAUUAAAACAAAAUAAUAUAAAACAUAAAAAUUUGAAUAAUGUAAGACUAGAUAUUUAAAUUUACAUAAAAAUUAAUUCAAUUUAAAUAUUUGGAUGGAGAACAAAUAAAUAUUUUCAGUAUUUUGAACAUUUUUUUGUUGUUAUUUUAGAUAUUUACAUGUGAUAUAUGUUGAUAAUUUUUAGAUAUUUUCAUUUUUUGAAUAUCUAAUAGAUAUAAAAUUUAAAAUAAUUAAUAUAUUUAAAUAUAUAAUUAUGAUUUAGAUAUUUUUGGUGUAUCUAAAAUAUUUUAGUUUGGAUCAAAUUUGGAUCUGGUUAUUUGGAUAUUAAUCUUUUAGAUCCAUCUGAAUACUUUGCAAAAACUGAAGCAAAGGUUGAUUCCCAUCUAAACAAACAAUCAAGGAUGAUCAACGAAAGGGAUGAUCUCUAGCUCCAACCAGAAUUAUGAAAUCCAGUUACCUAGAAUUCAUGGUUGAGAUUAUAGGAGAAAGGGAAGACAAAAACUAUAUCCGAACUUGUCGGAUACUUUAUUAUGCAAAAUAUUUAUUCAAUCUAGAAUAAAAAAAACAUAAGAACUUGAAGAAAAAAUCUGAUUCUAGAUUGAAAACACUACAAAGCCUAGAUAACUAUAUAGUCCGCAAGCGAAAGCAAAAAAACUCGAUCUAUUGACCGAAGAAAGUAUAUUUAAUUAAAAAAAAAGAGCCAUAAAUCUCUUUCCAUUCUGAAAGAUAUGAAAGAGUUAUAAAAAAAGGAAGAAUAGAGAAUUAUCUUUCUCUAAAAGAUAUGUAAAACAAUUCAUAAUAAAUUUUAAAUUUUGAAACGACAUUUACUAUAAAACUGAAUAUUUAUUGUCAUCGAACUAAGGUUGAAUAUUUUUGUUUGAGUUUUGAGAAUUUUAUGGAUAAUAUAGUAUGUACACGGUUGGCUACUGUUUAGAGAAUGUUGUUCGAGUGUUACUUUUCUUGAAUUUUAGUCUUCUAUACUAAGGAUCUAAGAGUUUGAAUGGAGAGCAGGAUAAAAGAUGGAUUGCACGCCAAAGUGGAUGCUUCACCUGUGAGUCUCCAUUCAAGAAAAUACAACCAAAACAUCGGAUACAUUAUUUAAAAAUGGUUGAUCCACUAGUGAUCCAGAUUAAUGAAGAAAUAUGAAGUAAAACAAUGGACUGCCUAUUACAGUAGAAUCACUCCAUAUUUGGAGUAUAACAAGCAGUUCACUCUUUUUUUUAGGUUUUUGGUUAUUAUUACAAUAUCAAAGUUGGUUAAUUUUACAUAAUUAUUAAUUUUAAAAUAGACUUGUUAUCCAUAUUUUGGUCACUAUUUAAACUGAUAAAGUACAAUAGAUUUAAAAUAUAUUUGUAUAUAUUGGUUCAUCACAAACAAUUUUUUAUACUUUUAAAUUUAUUUACAUAGUGAACCAAAAUAUAUUUAUAAAUUAUAUGUUUUAUAGAUUUAAAUAUAUUUAUGAUUUUAGCUCACAUUUUAAAAUAAUUAUAUAUUUAGUUAAAUUUAUUUUAUUAUAUUUUAAUACAAAAUUAUUAUAUUUAUAUAUGAAAUAUUCUAAAAAUAAUUAAAUUUUUAAGAAAAUUAGAUCGUUCGAAUUAGUUAUGACAAUAUAUUUUAUUUUAUUUUAAUAUUAAAUAAAUUCAAACAAAUAUUUUAAAAUAAUUAAAUCUAAUUAUAAAGGAAAUCAUAAUUAAAUUAUUUUAGAAGUAAUUUUGAAUUGAUCUUACACGCUCUUUAUCAAAAUAUAAUACUUUUAAAAUAUCCAAAAUCAGAUAAAUAUUUAAUGAAACUCAAAAUAAUAACAUAUAUGUUUAAAAAAAAUUCUAUUAUAGUUUGAAUAAAUAUUUAAUUUCUCAUUUAUAAGAUAUUUUUAAAAUAACAUUAUUAAUUAUGAAAAUAAAUAGUAUUAUAAUUUUUUCAAAUAGAUUAAAUUAAAUUUGUACAGUAUUUUGGACCACUUUUUAUCCACUUUCACCAUUCAAACAUAUGUUUUGAACCGCUAGAUCCACUUGAUCCACACUUGAACCGCUCGAUCCGCUUGAUCCACUCUUGUUCCGCUCAAUCCGCUUGAUACGCUAGAUCCGCAACGCUUGAUCCGCUUUCUCCAUUCGGAACCUAAAUGUGACCAAGAGAAUAUGUAGAAAUAGUAAAUUUCUUAACAGUUCUUACUAUUUACAUCAUUUACAAGAAAUAUUUGUUCUUUAUGAUUCCUUAACAUUCCUUAAAAUUUAGAAAAUAAUAGACUAUAAUUAUUCCUCAUAAAAUUAAGAAAAACAAUAUUUUACUUUCGUUUUAUUCCUCUUUAUUCCUUUUUUUCAUAUUCCUUAUAUUCCUUUAUGAUCACCGGUUAGUGGCUAAGUUUAAGAAAAAGUUAAAUUUACAUUUGUGAAAGGACAGAACUUAUGUUCACCUUCUAGGGUGAACCUUUAAAUUCACUUCACCUUUUAACACCAUUCAAAUUUACACAUAAAUUAUUAAUUAAAAAACAUUAAAUUAAAUAAAAAAAUAGCUACAAAAAAAAAACACUAAUUUUAACGACGCUAACGCUUCCAGCGAAACCCUAAAUCUUAAAUUUUAAACCCUAUACCCUAAAUUCUAAAAUCAAAUCCAAACCCCUAAACCCAAACCCUAUACCCUAAACCUUAAUCUUAAACCCUAAACCCAAACUAUAUACCCUAACCCUAGACCCUAAACACAAAUUAUAUACCUUAAACCCAAAAAAUAGACUAUAAACGUAAACUAUAUACCCUAAACCCAAGUUUUAGAUCAUAAACCUAAAGCGUAAACCUUAACCCAAACCCUAUAGCAUCUAAGUUUGGGGUUUGGGUUUAGGGUUUACCGUUUAGGUUUUAGGUCUAGAAUUUGGGUUUAGGGUAUAGGUUUUGGGUUUAGGAUUUACGGUUUGGGUUUAGGAUUUAUCGUUUGGACUUAUGGUUAAAGUUUUGGGUUUAGGGUAUAUAAUUUAGGUUUAUGGUAUAGGUUUUGGAUUUAGGGGUUUGGAUUUGGGUUUAGAGGUUUGGAUUUGGGUUUAGAAUUUAGAGUAUAAUGUUUAGAAUUUAAGAUUUAGGGUUUAGAGUUUAGGUGGAAACAUUAACGUCGUUAAAAUUGCGUUUUUAUUUUUUGUAGCUAUUUUUUAUUUAAUUUAGUAUUUUUUAAUUAAUAAUUUAUGUGAAAAUUUGAUUAGUUUUAAAAAGUGGGAUGAAUUUAAAGAUUCACCCCUAUGGGAUGAACCUAAGUUCUGUCCUUUGUGAAAUAUGUAAGGAACUUCCUCAUCGUAAAAUACCAAAGACGUGGCGAGAAUGUAAUCUUAAUGUGAACAAAUUUCGAUCGUGCAAUAAAACUGAAACUAAUUUACAAAAAAAAACUGAAACUCGAGUUAUAAGAAAAUAAAAAUAAUUACUUUAGAUACCCCGUUAUAUUAUAGUGGGGGAGUGUAAUUAUGACUGAUGUGCACGUGGAGGCGUGGCUGGGAAUUGCCAUCAUAUGUAUGGAACCACAAAUCAAAUGUUUGUAAGGUUUUACCCGUGACGACAAGUCAGAACACUCUUCACCACCUUCUCCUUUCAGCUUUUUGUCUCUUCUUUAUUUCUCUUUUUAUAGUAAGAACAAAUAUUUUUAACGCAUUCACUCUCUAAAGUUCAACCUUUUUGGAAGCAUAAUGCCACUAUGUACAUUUUUGUAGGCUAUAUAUUUUUGGGUCAAUGUGUAGGCUAUAUUUGAUUAGUUAUAUUUAUAAAAACAUUACUCGAUAACGUAAAACAUUGUCUUGUUUAUCAUUAUAGGAGGAACCCGAGUAAAGACCCCACAAGUUUACUCGUGGAUUUUAAGUAAUAACGGAAGUUCUUAAUUUGGAUUUAUUUGAAGAAUAAACACUGUCUUGGUAUUGGCCUUGAAGAAAGAUAAAUGGAAAUUUAUUAAUAAGAAAAAUGUCACAUUCCGAACCAAAAAGAAAAAGAGAGUAUAAGUUAUUUAAUGUGGAUAAACCAUGAAGAAUGUUUGCAGCCGAAGGUUACUCACCCAACUAAAGCUCUUUAGCCUUUUGGGCACGCGGGUUCACAUUCAAGUUUCAACUCAUAGGUGAUAGGUGUACAAACACAUUUUUUGUCACCUAAAAAUACUUAAAUAUAUGGUGUUCUCCCCCAUUCACUACUUAGUUGUGUCUCUCUGCUCCAAGAAGAUCUCCAUUCACCAAUGCGCUCCCCUUAUCCAAUCCGUAAGAAAAUAAGCUUCACAAAUAAGACUUUCAUACGCGUGACGAAUGGUACUCAUAACCACUGUCAUUAAUGGUAUCACAAACUUCUGUAUAAGUGCCUUCAUAUUUGCAAAAGCCUUCACUGACGAGAUUGACUCCUUGUGUGGAAAGUUCUUAUGGAAAGAAAAUUGUGAAGCUCAGUCCUUAGAAAAAGUAGCACGGAGUUCAUGCUGCAAAAGCAAAAAAUGAAAGAGGGUUAGGUCUGAGAAACCUUUGAAACUGGAACAAAGUGUGUGCAAUGAAGUUAAACCCUAACUCAACGAAUAUGUUAAAAUCCGACAAUAAUUAAUAAAGCCCAAAACGCGCAUAAAUAAAUUUCUAUAGUAGACGUGCAGAAGACGUAAGAUGUGCUGCAUUAGCGGGUCAACACCUUUUUCAGGGUCUUCCACACGAAGACCCCAUGAGUCACACUGAAGAACUUUAGGAUCUAGUCUCGAGUAUCGUUGGUCAUGAAGUCUCUGAAGGAUACAUACUCUGCAAAAAAUUUCUCCACUCUCUCUCAAGGGAUGCGUCUAACUGGCUCAAGCAACUGUAACCAAGAUCUCUCAUUACCUGGGAUGACAUAAAAAAGGCCUUCCUCAACAACUUUCUCAAAGACGCUGCAGCACCUCAUGAGAGCAAGUUGGAAUCUAUCUGUGCUAGUAAAAAUUCUAGAGGGCCAGUAGAAGAUGUCUGGUUAUUUCAAAACAGCCAAGUCUGGAGGAAAGAGCAGAAAGCGGAAGAAGAAACAUAAGAGAAAAAAGAAGAAUGAUGACUUCUUGACAGUGGUUCCUCAGACUUGUUCAGAUGAGUACCUUGAGUACUGAGUGUGCAACAGAGGAGGUUUGAAACCUUUUACCUGGAUUCGAGUGCUUGUUACUCUAGAGCUAAGAGAGAAUGGAGAAGCUUCUGCAAGAAUCUUCAUUGACUUCAUGAACAAACUACUGAAGCAAGUUCCCAUUCUCAUCUCGACAAAACUUGAUAUCCAAAAGUCAAGCUAAUGACUAAAAACAAGCACUUGAUGGGAGGCAACCCAUUGGUAAGCUUUAAUUUUAGUGUAAAUUUCAUUUUUACUAAUUUUCAUAUUUUUAGUACCAUUCUUUGAGGUUAUUGACUGCAUGGUAUAUUAAAUGGAAACACCAAAACUGAUCACCUGCCAAUAACAUCCACGCUUGUUGAGAAAAUCAUAAGGAACCAAAGCUGACUUCCAACCUUAAUCCAUUUAAUAGUUUGUCUUGGGGCUUGGUAUACAUGAUGUGCUAAAAUUACCAUAGAGAAACUCUCUCAAAUAAGAGAUCAGUUGCAGUAUUUAGGAAUCCAAUCCACAGAGACUCGUUAUUUCACACAAUAGACUUGAGUUUCAGAUUUAGCUAGGCAAAAUAUAAUAUAAAACAAUAAAUAAGAAAGCAGUAAAAAAAAGAUAGUUUGUAAGCAGAUGGGAUAAGGGGCUAGACUUAGGGUUUCAUUAGGUUAAAUCUAUAGAUGUUAAGGAGUUGAUCCUAGAACUCAAAAGCAAUAAUAAGAUAUCUAACUCUCACUGUGAGUCUACAUGUUUAAAUUUGUAUUCAUACUUAUGGGUAUUUAAUACGGAACGAGUCGAUUGAUACACCUAUAGAGUGUCGAUAAAUACGUCUUUUAAACCGGCUUUAUCGUUCAGAUCGAUAAGUUCACUAGGUUAACUCAAAGAUUGAAGCGAUGGGGUAGGCAAAUUUCCUAUGACUUCAUUAUUCAACUACACUUUGCAAAGAAAAAAAAUGAAAGAAAAGAAAGAAAAAAAAGAAAAAGAAAAGAUUCAGAGAAGAAAAAAAAAGGGAAAAGAAAUCAGAAUAAGACUACAUGUUUACUCCAAAGCCUGUUAGGGUAAGAGCUCAUGUGUUCAUUGAUUGAUACUUCCAAGAUAAAGACUACACAUUCUUUUGCAGAAAUGAGGUCAGUAAAGGGGUAUACCAAGUGGCGUCAGUUAAGCUGUGGGAUGGAUGGUAUGGCUGCGAAGCCAAGGUUUAAUACAUGGAAGUUCCUCUAGAGUUGACACUGAUCUAAUGUGGUUUGCAACAUUGCAGAGGUGAAGGUAGUAGUUUAAAAAAAUUGCGAGUUCCUUCGUUUUAAAACCUCUUUGACAUGACUAAUCUAUUUUUGCUUGAUGACAAACAAAAAGAUAAGUCGGGAGAAGUUGAUAUACCAUGAAUUUUACCACUUUUAUACCAUGGUAUAAGUCAUUUUUAGUGUCUAUUAUAUGUGUUUAGAUUGUGUUUAAAGUUUUUUCAGGUUUAGGUCAAGUUUGGGCUAUUUUGGAGAUUCUAGAGCUUUUUGAGGUGCAAAGCUGUCCAGAUGCGUCAGAAAUUUAGCUAUGGUUUGAAGUCUUAUCGCAUUGAGAUUGAGCCCAUAUAUAGACACAUGAUAUAUUUUUUAGUUAGCUUUCCAAUACUACCAGUUUUAGGUCAAUAAGGAUCAUGGAUCAAAAGUUAUGUCCGCUUUACUGAAGAAUGGUCCGUCUGACUCGCGAGAGAAAACUAUCGAGAAUCAACUACUGUUGAUCGACGACACCUUGGUGUCGAUAAAAAAUCCUCCAAAUCAGCAAAUCGUCGUAUUUUAAAGAAUUUUUAAGAAUUACCACUUUACCCCAAAGUUUUCCUUAUUUACAGAAGACCCCUAUCCAACUUUAAACCCUAUAUAUAUGUUUUCUAAGCCAAUAUUGACAGCUACAUUUUCUUUUAUUCUUAGUUUUAGGGUUGGAGAUAAGAGAAGAACUCCUUUAGGAUUCUUUUGGAACUCCUUUGGUUUUAACAUUGAUUUAUUUAUCUAUUAUCUAUUCAGACUAUGUUUUGUGUUUCUUAGAUUAGGAUUGCUAGGGUGUUUUUAGAUCUAUACACCAGGGUAGCUUGUAAUACUAGGAUUUAGAGUAGUUAGAAUAGCAGGAGAGUGUGACUUAUUAUCUGAACUUAAAAUCAUAAGACAAUUGAGAGGUACGAGAGUGCAAUCGAUUAACGAAACCUGAACCCUAAGUGGAUUAGAGACCUAGGCGCAUUCGAAAGAUGGUCUAGGAUUUAGUUGAACAUUAUUAACUGAUCGUUAAUGCUUGUCUACAGAGGUGUCAAUCGACAUUAUCUGUAGUAUCGAACGACACUCUUCUUUGUUCGCAUGCGAGUGCUGGAACAUAAGAUUUAGAUAUCUGAUUAGACUUGCAGCGAGAGAUAGUUAUUCUAAGGAAUAAAAUUAACACGGUUAUUUAUUUUAUGUUUUCUGUUUUUUUUUUUUAAAUAAACUUAUGUAUGUUUUGGUAAUGAUAUUUAAUAUUUUAUUAUUUCCAUGAUAAAUAUUUUACUAUUAAGAAUAUUUUCAAUUUAUUAUUUUAAAAGCAAAAACUAAAACUAAAAACUAAAAACCAACAUCUAAAAUUACCAUUCGUGCUUUUCAAAAAACUAAAAUCUAGUGCAAAGUCAAAAACCAAAAAAAAAAAAUAUAAAAUCCAAAACCCAAAAACUAAAAACUAGAAACCAAAAUCCAGAAUCUAGAAACCAAACAAACGAUUAAUCUCCCACAUCAAGAGUUUAACUCAGAAAUGAAUAAUAUAUAAAGGGUUACGGUGAAUUCACUUAAUCACCAAUUGGUUUUAAGUUAGAAUCCCAUGAUAAGUCUGAAUUUAACAUGGUAUUAGAGCUGGCCUACACUUUGGCUCAUUUAUCCGGCUAGGACAGUGGUCCGAUCAUCCCACUAAUCGAUGGUCCAGGAAAUGCUCAAGUCCACCGAGAUAGCAAAAAAAUAGCAUUAUCUCGGAGGGGGUAUAAUGGAUUAUCUCGAGAUUAAUGGUUAUAUGCACCAUUAUCUCGGCGGAUGGUGUUGGAGAUUAAGAUCCUAUAUCGGAAAGACAAAAUGGACUUAAAUAAUAUAUAAGGGACUUAAGCCAAUCCAUUUACCAUCAACUUGUUUGAAGUUAGAAGCCCAUUGUAAGCCCAAUUUAACAUAGAAAAGCUUCAAAUAGAUCUUAAGAGAAUUUUCAACUCCUCUUUAUAUUUACCUUUAUAAUAGUAUUUAGAGGCAAAAUUCACUCCAACACAACUUUAUUUGAUCCACUAAAUUAGAAAUUGCUAUUUUUUCUUCUAUAAUAGAAAAAUAGCAAUUCUAUAUUUUUAUUUGUAGUUAAAUAUUAUUAGUUUACAUGAAUACAUUGGAAUAAACUUCAUCUUUAUUAUAGUGUACAUCUAUCUCUAGACAUUAUUAGAUAAGUGGUUUGUCAUGUGUCAUCACCACAUAUAACAAUGAUGACAUGGCUUGAAGCUAAUUGUGAAAUAAAUAUUCACAUUUAAUAUGACUUAUAUUUUGGCAAGUUUUAUAAAAUAUGGUAAUAACUCAAAGAUCAUCAUUUAUAUAACAACACAUAAUAUAAUAGUAGAAAUAUAAAUAUAAUAGUUUUAAAAUUUUUUAAAAUUAUUAUUUAAUUUUACUUAUCAUAAUUAUAUAUCUUUUGAUGCUAAAAAAAUUCUUCAAAUUUUAUGCAGUUUUUCUUUAAAUUAUAAUUUCUGAUCCCAAUACCAUUAGUUUCUUUUUAUUAUUUACAAAUUUUAUUUAGUUUUACGUUUUGAUAAUUAUAUAUAACAAAAUUUUCUCUUGAUUUUAUGGAAUUUUAUUAAAUAUAAAUAAACCAAAAGAAAUAGAUAAAAAAUAUUCCAAAACUAUUAUUUUAAAUAUAUACAUAUAUAUAUUAUUAAAUAAAAAUUUAAAUAAAAAUUAUUUAUACUAAUUUUUAAAUAUAAUUAAAUUAAAAAAAUAAUGUAAGCGAAUAAUAAAAGCUAAAGCUACUAAAAUUUUAUUUUUAAAUAUACUUUAAAUUUUAAAAACUUUUAUUUCUACACUAGAAAAACACGUAGUUUUAGAGAUAAAAAUAAAAAAAAAUAUAUUGGAGAUGAUGUAAAAGAUAUAGAAGCUUCCUAUAGAAUUUUGGAGUUUCAUGUAGUGGUUGAUAGCUAAAACUGAAAAUCGCAAUCAGAUGAAUCUAAUUAAGAAGCACGUUAAAACUUUUCAAUAGAUAAAAGCAUUGUUUUCUGUAGAUUAUGUACGUUUUUGUAUUUGUAUAUACAUCAUUGUAAACUUUAUCCUUAUCUAAAAGUAAGUAAUAAAAAAAAAA